GUCGAAUUAGCUCAGUUAGGUAGAGCGCCCGGCUUUUAACCGUGUGGUCGCGGGUUCGAUCCCCGCAUUCGGUA
Non-coding RNA from Cylindrotheca closterium, 74 nucleotides. Lineage: Eukaryota; Bacillariophyta; Bacillariophyceae; Bacillariales; Bacillariaceae. The record is from the annotation of a GenBank genome assembly.